This 253-nucleotide ribosomal RNA is filed under the name uncultured Oscillospiraceae bacterium. RNAcentral describes it as "partial 16S ribosomal RNA". It matches the Rfam family "Bacterial small subunit ribosomal RNA", at positions 524 to 776 of the family's 1533-position model. The record is from RNAcentral. Lineage: Bacteria; Bacillati; Bacillota; Clostridia; Eubacteriales; Oscillospiraceae.
UACGUAGGUGGCAAGCGUUAUCCGGAAUUACUGGGUGUAAAGGGUGUGUAGGCGGGUUUGCAAGUCAGAUGUGAAAAUUAUGGGCUCAACCCAUAACCUGCGUCUGAAACUACAGAUCUUGAGAGUGGGAGAGGUAAACGGAAUUCCCGGUGUAGCGGUGAAAUGCAUAGAUAUUAGGAGGAACACCAGUGGCGAAGGCGACUUACUGGACUGUAACUGACGCUGAGGCAUGAGAGCAUGGGUAGCGAACAGG